AAAUAGAACUUUGCAGAGAGAGUUAAGAGGGCGUGAAACCGUUAAUUGGCAAACGAAUCGGAGCCACGAAGUCGUUUCGCUGGUUUAGUUGGCCUGAGUUCAGCUAGCCUCCCCUCACCGGGAGGCUAGUGUAUUCUCGUGACUAACCAUCUGUAAGCGUACACUGCAACCAGUUAGACAAUUGACAAUGGGCACAGUUGGCUGCUCGGGUUAGUAGUAGCGCUGCGAGUCUCGUACUCGUUGGUGUUGCUGGGCUCGUGGCAAGUGAACUAUCGUCAAAUACUGACUGGCACAAUGAAAAUCGCUCCACCAUGGAUGCGUAACACAGAAUGCAGCAUACUGCAUGUCUGGCUACACAAGUGACCGUGCGCUCCCAAGUUCGGCAUCUUCGAAUUUGGACCUGCUUGCUACCAAUGGGGCAACCCUUGGUGCUUGUACGGCUUCCAUCUAAUCAGCUGUCGACUUGAGCGUACGUAGUUUGCCUGUGCUACGUUCAGCCAGGCAUGUAUGCGUGUUUGCCAUUUUGAAUUGGCAGUGAGUAGGUCGGCUUUCCGAACGACCCGUCUUGAAACACGGACCAAGGAGUCUAAUUAGGCAUCAAGUCGAUCGGUCUUGACUAGGCCAGACUGGCGAGCCUUCGCCAACUGAAGGCGCAGAGACAUGUGAUCGCGGGGCUAUACCAGCCCCAGCGCGCAACAUGUGCCUGUUCGUAUAGCAAUGUAGCAAUAAUUGCUGGCGGAGCAAAGAGAUGCCUGAUUGGUACCCGAAAGAUGGUGAGCCUGGGCAGGUUGAAGCCAGAGGAAACUCUGGUGGAGGACCGUAGCGAUUCUGACGUGCAAAUCGAUCGUCAGACCUGGGUAUAGGGGCGAAAGACUAAUCGAACCAUC
Molecule: ribosomal RNA, 887 nt
Filed under: Leipothrix sp. H92
Lineage: Eukaryota; Metazoa; Arthropoda; Arachnida; Trombidiformes; Eriophyidae
Description: partial large subunit ribosomal RNA
Rfam family: Eukaryotic large subunit ribosomal RNA
Source: RNAcentral